Oxyura jamaicensis (ruddy duck) is the source of this 291-nucleotide long non-coding RNA. RefSeq lists it as uncharacterized. The transcript has 2 exons. The record is from RefSeq and is a predicted model, not a curated record. Lineage: Eukaryota; Metazoa; Chordata; Aves; Anseriformes; Anatidae.
GAAUUUUCUAUUACACUUUCCUAACUAAAAUGACUUGGCCUGACUGUUCAGGCAGCAGGGAUCGACUGACUGCUUCUGCAUUGUGUGGAAAUGACAUUGGAUAUGUAUAUUCCUCACUACAAGAAGAAGCAAACAGCACAGCCCUAAAAGUACUUAAGACCUAAUCCUGCAAAGAUGUAUCAGUAAUAUUAGAUAAAGUAUUUCCACAGAAAUCAGUUUUCAUUAGAACAAAUCUGCUAGGAGGUUUUGCCAGUCACUUAAGCAUGCUGUUACAUGGUCUUUUUAUAUAAA